GGAAUUUAUUAUAAUGUAUUAAAUAUAAGGUGAAAUGCCAAAGGAUUAUAAUUUUAAAUCUAAGAGAAGCAAAGGGAAGAAGGCAACAUUGUGACCUUACACUUAUGUACUUCACCAACUUAAUAAAUCAAAAAUGAAACAGGAAUCUUGCUACGUAUUUACUAACAUUUACAAAAAGGUACUCCUGCAGAAAACUUGGAACAAGCUUCACAGCAACAGAAAGAACCCCGGAGAAAUCUUGAACAAUGCUUCCAUGUCAGCUGUGAAAACUUGCUAUUGUCAGUUUGAAGAGGGUGGUUUGACGGCACCAUUAUCAAGGAUCAGAAGCACCAAUUCUCAAGUUGUAUAAACAAGUCUAUUAGUUACUCCGACUUAUGACAAAUCAAACGAUCCUUGACCUUCAUUAAUGGCAUAGAGUAAUUUCUUGGACAUGAUCUCCUUAGUAGAAUAGGGAGGGAGUUUCAAGUAAUUAGCACAUGUCAUCACACUGGGUAGGUCUUCAUCUGCAGAUUCUGAUGGGGCAUUACUGUUCUGUGCUGCAUUGCCAGCACUAGAUGAAUGCUUCCUCACAAUUGUCAACUUAGGAUUCAGAGAAGCAAGACCACCUGCGGGGAGCCGAGGAGCACCAGUAACAAACUGGCAGAAUGCUCGUUGCUGCUCAGGUGUGAACUCUCCCAUAAUCUCUAGUAAAUGAAUAAUAGGAGGACUCUUGGAUGUGAAUCCAUGAUCGAAUUUUAUGUGAUCUACUAGCAUCUCAGGCUUCCACAGCUCUCUACGGCCACAUAAUAGAUAGUCUAACUCUGAAGGAGAGAAUAUUUGCAGAGCUGAAAAGUCGAAAACCUGAUUGAAGCCAGAUCUAAAAGCCUCCAUUUGCUGCCUGAUUCCAGUUUUCACAGUAGCAUCAACUACCAAAGAAAUAUACUCCUCCAAGUUACUGAGAUCCACAUUCUCGUCGCCUGCUUUAAGAAUAUAUUCAGGAUAGCCAGGAAGUGUGAAAUCUAAACAAAGAUCCUCAACUGGAGUCCCACGAAAAUGCAUGUCAUAAGACUCGUCCAGGUUCUGAUCUUUUAUUGAUUCUAUAUAUUGCUUUCGACUGACGAGGGCUUGCAACUCUUGCAAAGUCUUCCCCAAUUCGGUGUCAAAAGAAAGAAUAUCAUACAAAUCAAGUUCUUGACCAAGAACGAGCUUAUAGAAGGCCAUGGACAGUGGAAGGUCCAAAAGCCGUCCAUCUUGAAGAGCUUUCGCCAUAACACGUCCAAGCAAGCGGAAAUAUUCAAUUGCUUUAUAGAAUUGACCUCCAUCAACAGUACCAGUAUGUGGUGACCAGGGACGUGGGAAUAAUCCAAGAGGUGCU
RNAcentral lists this unclassified non-coding RNA (1354 nucleotides) under Hevea brasiliensis (rubber tree). The record is from RNAcentral. Lineage: Eukaryota; Viridiplantae; Streptophyta; Magnoliopsida; Malpighiales; Euphorbiaceae.